This 372-nucleotide long non-coding RNA is filed under the name Elaeis guineensis (African oil palm). Its description in RNAcentral is "long non-coding RNA (EGUI_LNC082015)". Lineage: Eukaryota; Viridiplantae; Streptophyta; Magnoliopsida; Arecales; Arecaceae. The record is from RNAcentral.
CCCCCACAGCCAUGUUAGGAACAGGAGGAGAACCUCGUCCUAACAUGAACAAGGUCGAAGGCCCAGUUAUUCAGAGAUCGGAUGGGGGGAGAGGUCCUUGCAACGACCCUUAUAUGCCCCCGCAGCCUUGUUAGGAACAGGAGGAAAACCUCAUCCUAACAUGAGCUGAAAUUGAUUGUGUCAGAAACAGGAGGAGAACCUCAUCCUGACACAAACGAAGAUCUGGUCGUUUGAUACCGGAUGAGGAAAACAGUCAUUCAGCAGCUCCUCUACACCCCUACAAUCCCGCUAGGAGCAGAGGGAAAACCCUCGCCCAAAUAUAAAGAAAGAGGGAGGAAAAAAAAAGCGAUGAGUUACACCAGAGAUAAAAAA